RNAcentral lists this small RNA (107 nucleotides) under Arsenophonus endosymbiont of Bemisia tabaci Q2. RNAcentral describes it as "ArcZ". Lineage: Bacteria; Pseudomonadati; Pseudomonadota; Gammaproteobacteria; Enterobacterales; Morganellaceae. The record is from RNAcentral.
AUAAAGGUUUCUAUUUUACUCACCAUCUAGAUUUAUUCAUAUCAUAAUUGGUGAGAAAAAACCAUUUGCCUGGUGUUGGCGCAGUAUUCGCGCACCCCAACUUCGGU